UGAGGAAUAUUGGACAAUGGGCGCAAGCCUGAUCCAGCCAUGCCGCGUGAGUGAUGAAGGCCUUAGGGUUGUAAAACUCUUUUAGUGGGGAAAAUAAUGAUGGUACCCACAGAAAAAGCUCCGGCUAACUUCGUGCCAGCAGCCGCGGUAAUACGAAGGGAGCUAGCGUUACUCGGAAUCACUGGGCGUAAAGCGCAUGUAGGCGGAAAUACAAGUCAGAGGUGAAAGCCCUGGGCUCAACCCAGGAAUUGCCUUUGAAACUGUAUUUCUUGAGUAUGACAGAGGAUGGUGGAAUUUCCAGUGUAGAGGUGAAAUUCGUAGAUAUUGGAAAGAACACCGGUGGCGAAGGCGACCAUCUGGGUCAUAACUGACGCUGAGAUGCGAAAGCGUGGGGAGCGAACGG
This 403-nucleotide ribosomal RNA is filed under the name uncultured bacterium. RNAcentral describes it as "bacterial SSU rRNA". It matches the Rfam family "Bacterial small subunit ribosomal RNA", at positions 355 to 775 of the family's 1533-position model. The record is from RNAcentral.